UAUGAGUCUAGUUAGGAACCUAAUUUCUUCUCUCUCUCAUUUUUUUUUUCCAGUGCUGGCAUCAGACCCAGGGCCUUGUUUACAAUAGAGAAGUUACAGAACUACAUCCCUAGCCCUAGGGACUGAGUUUUACUAACUAAGUAGGUGUGAAUCCCAGUAGCUUUCUACCACUUGUUAAUCAUGUAAUCCUUGGGUAUCAGUCCAUUUUUAUAUUGCCACAAUAAUAUAGUUGAGAAAAAAAGACAUAUAGUUCACAGUUUUAGAGGCUGAAAAGUCAAGAUUAAGUGACCUUAUCUUUUUUGGCCUCUAUUAAGGAACCUUUAACUGUUUUACAACAUGGCAGAGAAGCAGGAAGCUCAAGUACAUAAGGAGACCUCCUUUAUAGGAGAUAAAUACAAUAAAGAUCCACUUUUAUAAGUUUUCACUCACUCUGAGGGACUGGCAUUAAUUCCUUCUAAAGAUGGUGACCCUGAUUACCUUGCACUCAGCCUUAACUCUUCAACCUGGAUCAAUUUUUUCCAGCAUAUAAACCUUUAGGAGACACAAAUCAUAUCCAAACAAUAGCACCCUUAUUGAAGCUAAACUCCUUGUUCUACAGUUUCUUCAUCUGUUAAAAAAGAAGAAUGAACAGAGCCUACCCUACAAGGUUGUAAUAAGGCUUCUGUACAGUCUUCUUUGAAAUACUAGCUAUUAGAAACCCUCCCCUCAUCUCAAAGGUCAUUUAUAAUCUUUUAUUUACAACUAAAA
Long non-coding RNA from Perognathus longimembris pacificus (Pacific pocket mouse), 747 nucleotides. RefSeq lists it as uncharacterized. The record is from RefSeq and is a predicted model, not a curated record. Lineage: Eukaryota; Metazoa; Chordata; Mammalia; Rodentia; Heteromyidae. The transcript has 2 exons.